RNAcentral lists this long non-coding RNA (2551 nucleotides) under Sus scrofa (pig). RNAcentral's name for it is "lncRNA (ENSSSCG00065030278.1)". The record is from RNAcentral. Lineage: Eukaryota; Metazoa; Chordata; Mammalia; Artiodactyla; Suidae.
GGCUAAAGGUGUUAGAUUUUAAGGAAUCUCUUGCGCAUGGAAGAGAAGCAGAAGUCACUCACGCUUGACUUGAGAAAGCCUCUGGGAGUUCCCUGGUGGCCUAGCAGUUAAGAACUCCGUGUGGUCACCGCUGUGGCAGGGGUUCAAUCCCUGGGCCCUGGGGAACUUCUGCAUGUCUUGGGUGUGGCAAAAAAAAAAAAAAGAAGAAGAAGAAGAAGAAGAGAAAGGAAAAGAAGGCCUCCAACGAAAAGCUCCACUCACAGAUGACAACACAUGUCUCUUGGAACCUGUCUCAUUAUUGUGUAUAUUUUCUUUCCUAGAGACUGUAAAUCACAUUUUCCCCUCAGAAUGAUUUCCCGUGCUUUCAGAUUCUUGGAAUCGAAAACAAAGCUGAUGUGUCCUGAGCUUCGGAGUAUGUGGCAGCCACUUUUCUGAGGACUCUUUUCAUCCUUACAACAGCCCCUGAUGGAGGUUCUAUUAUUAGCUCCAUUUUACAGACGAGAAAACAAAGUUCAGAGAAGCAAACUGACUUGCCUGAACAUCCCAGGGCUGUAGCAGCAGAAUCCAGGUUGACAGCAAAGUGGGGAAGGUUCAGCCUGAAAGGAGGCCCCAGUCAGGCUUCGUCAUUCACUACCGUUACCGCCUCGGCAUCCACUGGGGCGAACCACCCCUCAGCCUCACUGUCCCACCGAACCCUGUGGAAGCCUCUUCUUCCCAGAUCCCACCCCAGCGGGAACAUUUUGUGACUUAGCUGAUGAAAACACACCAAUGCUUUUCAAAUAUUACUUUAGAUUUUCGAACUCAGAGCAAUUUGUUUUGUUUGUUUGUUUGUUUUUGGCCAUGCCCACAGCAUGCAGGAGUUCCCAAGCCAGGAAAUGAACCCACGCCACAGAAGCAGCCCAAGCCACAGCAGUGACAACACCUAAUCCUUAACCCCCUGUGCCACCAGGGAACUCCUUAAAGAGCAAUUUUUAACUCUUUAAAAUUUCGUCUUAAAAAGAUUCUUUCUUUUGCUUUUGUUGUUGUUCUUGUUUUUCUUUUUAGGCAUAUGGAAGAUCCCAGGCUAGGGGGUCAAAUCAGAGCUGCAGUUGUCAGCUGGCACCACCGCCACAGCAACACCAGAUCCAAGCCACGUCUGCAAACUAUACCGCAGCUUGCAGCAAUUCAAGAUCCGUAACCCACUGGGCAAGGCCAGGGAUCGAACCUGCAUCCUCAUGGAUACUAGUCAGAUUCUUAACCCGCUGAGCCACAGGGGGUUUUAAUCCCUUUUAUACAUGAUGAAGGCACAGGGGUAAGAAAAAGCCAACUUCUAAUCCCCCCCAACUCCCUAUUUCUGUCAUGUCCUAACUAAUCUGUCAGGAACCUUGUGAGAAGGAGAAAAGUGGGACCGUUUCUGCCCCCCCUCCAUGCCCCUGUCCCGUUGACACUUCCGAAAGGAGUGCCCGACCCUAGCAAAGGCACUGGGAACUCAGCAAAGGACCGGCUCUGCCCUCAUUUGGUGACAACCCACGGCACACAGGGGAGCACAGAGACGGAGGGAGCGCGGGGGCCGUGUCGUCUGUGCCCCGAAGGAAAUCCCCUGCCUUUGGGGGGCGGGGGGGGCCCGGGGAGUGGGCAGGGGCACUCCUACCCCCAAGGCGGAGUCUGAAGAGGAAGCCCCGGCCAGGGGGCAGAGAGGUCCCUGUCGCCACAGCAGCACCCUCCAGGUCCCAGAGGGGCCACUUCCCUGCUGGCCCACGCUCGGGUCACCCUGCCCUCAGCGACCAGACACUGCCCUGACCACACCCGUCACAGCUUUACGCUCAAACCCUUCUUAUGGCUUGGCUUUUAUUUUUUCGUUUUAAUGUAUAGUUUUUUGGCUGGGCCCACAGCACAUGUGGAAAUCCCUGGCCCGGGGCUCGAACCCAUGCUAUAGCAGUGGCCCGAGCCACCCGCUAAGCCACCAGGGAACGCCUGGCUUCAUUUUUAGACACAUUUCGGGAGAGCAAAGUCUACCUGGUCGUGUUUGGACAGCUUAUCUUAAAUGUUUUAUUUUGGGGAGGCUUGUUUUUUCAGGCUUAAUUUCUCCAAAGAGCCCAAACGAAUAAAAGGACACCAAUGCCACCGCACACCCCAGACUCCUGCCUUCACGGCCGAGGGGGAUCAGGGCAGAGAGCGUCCCCUCCCCCGAGCCUGAUGCAAGGACUGUCCUGAGAGCCACCCCUCCGUGGCUGCCCCGCAGAGCCCAGGGACACCCUUCCUCCCCGUGACGUCAGCUGGUCGCACAAGAACCGGGCGGAGGACAGGCGCCCCCCAGGAGCGGAGCAGGCCCUCUGCUGAGGGGCACCCACUGGACUUCAGGGCCCUUCCUGCGUCGGUGUCUCCCAGCCUCUCUCCAGUCCUCCCUCGGCUUUCGCCCAAUCCCUGGAACCCCCGUGCCAUCAGCAAUACACUUUCCAAGGCCGGCUGCUUUCCCCAGAGCUUACACACCUUUGUUUCAAAACAAAACUUGCUACCACUGCUCUGAUGGGAAAUCUGGUUUCACUUACCGUCAACGGAGGGCUGCCAUAAA